Molecule: ribosomal RNA, 669 nt
Filed under: Triticum aestivum (bread wheat)
Lineage: Eukaryota; Viridiplantae; Streptophyta; Magnoliopsida; Poales; Poaceae
Description: partial small subunit ribosomal RNA
Source: RNAcentral
AUGUAUGUGCGGAACUUUGCUCGACGCCUUCACAAAUGCAAGACCCCCGCCCUUCUUUCCAAGCUGGACAUAAGAAAAGCCUUCGACUUUGUCAGAUGGGAAUUCAUCCUCCACCUCUUGCAACUAAAGGGCUUCCCUUGCAAAUUCCGUGAUUGGAUUGCCGCUCUACUUUGCACCUCUUCCUCACGUUUCCUGCUCAAUGGUCUGCCCGGACCUCCCAUCAAACAUGGUCGCGGUUUUUGGCAAGGGGACUCGAUCUCGCCAUUGCUAUUCGUCCUCGCAAUUGAUCCUCUUCACCAAAUACUUGACUUGGCAACGAGGAAGGGCCUCCUUCAUAAGAUUCGGGGACGAGGUGCUAUGAUGAGAACCUCCUUAUACGCGGAUGACGCGGCCAUUUUUAUGGCCCCUAUCAAGAGUGACAUCGACAACCUCUCCACCAUUUUGAAGGGCUUCGGUGAUGUCACGGGUCUAUGCACCAACUUUCACAAAAGCUCGGUUGUGCCCAUCCGGUGCUCCAACGUUGACUUGGAUCAUGUCCUCAGUGGCGUACCGGUGUCCAGAGCCACCUUCCUGAUGAAAUACCUGGGACUCCCACUCUCGGUCUGGCAGCUCAAGUUUGUAGAUUUCCAAUACCUUGAGGACAAGGCGGCCGACAAACUUGUCACCUAG